This 86-nucleotide transfer RNA is filed under the name Acinetobacter baumannii. RNAcentral describes it as "tRNA-Leu". It matches the Rfam family "tRNA". Rfam says of the family: Transfer RNA (tRNA) molecules are approximately 80 nucleotides in length. The record is from RNAcentral. Lineage: Bacteria; Pseudomonadati; Pseudomonadota; Gammaproteobacteria; Moraxellales; Moraxellaceae.
GCGGUGGUGGUGGAAUUGGUAGACACGCUACCUUGAGGUGGUAGUGCUUUCGGGCGUGGGGGUUCAAGUCCCCCCCUUCCGCACCA